GCAUCAUGUAAACUCAUACUAAUUACUAAUAUAUUUUUAAAUAUAAAAGUAUAAUCAAUUUAAGCAUAGAGCUGAGGCUUUAUAAGUACUGUGGUCUCUGUAAGAUGAUUUACUAAGAUGGACCUGUCUCAAUAUGUGCUAAAACCAAUAUAAUAGCAUUUAGUGUUUUAAUAUUAAUUUGAGUUGGUAUUGAGGAAAACAUUGCCAUUCCCAUUUCCCCCCAAUUUUCCCACUACUUGUUAAUAAACGCGCACAACGUUGACCGUAGGGAGAGGCCCUUUUUGACCCCGUACAUGCUUCAAAUAAUGGGGUUUUAAAAACGUCUUGUGAAUUAGAGUCGUUUGUUGAUGGCUGUGAAAAGCCACAGUGUUACACAGCAAACAUGCGUUAUUAGUGGUGAAUUCGGCCUAGUGGGUUCUACGUAUUAUUAAAGAAUUUACGGUAAAACAGUUGGCGGCUAUUACAAAACCAGUUCGUGUUCUACAGCAUUUAGGCUUUGUCAACGUGCGGGCGUUUUGGUGCUAAAUGAACGAACUAAUGAGGUUGUGUUUACACACGUGGUGGCGCCGGUGGACACGAGGGGGCGCGUCGUACUUAUCGUUAGUGAACUUGGAGAGAGACUACAAACGCUACGAACUAGAAGAUGAAAAGAAAAGUGGUGUCGAAAGGAUGAGACGGCAGCGGAAAAAGAGCCGGACGGAGCAGCGUAUGGCGAAAAUCACAGGAUCCACCCAGAGCUCUCUGUCAAUCUCCAGCCUUGUGAUGACAGCAGAUCCCGGUAGCGACAGACUGUACGACCUGAAAGAGCAGAGCAGAACAGGAGAGUGACAGUGACAACCGAUUGAACAGAUAAACAGACUCCUUCAUUUGUGGCUAAAUGGGAGCCUAACAGGAACCCACAGGACAGCCGGUUGUGCUGCCCAGGGCCGAAGCUACCGUGCUUCAUCCUGUCUACGUGAAAGGUUUGUUUACAUCAAACUCUGGCUGAAACUCCAGUGACUUGGAGGCGGGUGGCUGGGGAGAAGAUGCGUGCUGAAUGAGGCUAUCUGAAUGAUUUAGCAGACAAGGUGUGAGCCAUGAUGGUGUGAAGGUUAAAGCAGUAGUUCAGGUAGAACAUUGAUUGUUAUACUCCGUCUUGCUGAAAUAAAGAGGACAUGGUUCAAUAUGGUUUUGUCUCA
Molecule: long non-coding RNA, 1178 nt
Filed under: Betta splendens (Siamese fighting fish)
Lineage: Eukaryota; Metazoa; Chordata; Actinopteri; Anabantiformes; Osphronemidae
Description: lncRNA (ENSBSLG00000009830.1)
Source: RNAcentral